AUCAGCUUCAUUCACUCUUCUUCUAACUACCUGCCCGCGAUAGUUUUAGAGGAAACUGCUGUGGAAAACUCGGCCAGAAGCGUCAAGUGAAUCCAUAACAUCACCACAAACGUCUUUUCAAGCCAGAUUGGAGAAAGAAAAAUGAAGGGAGUAAAAAGAGUGAAGUGAGGAAGAGUGAGGUGAAGAGAAGGAAAGGAAGAAAGAUCAGGAAGACGAUUGGAGGAGAAGAACAAGUUGAGAGUAAGAAGAGUGACACAAGGAGAGUGAAGAAGAGCAGACAGAGGAGUUGGCAGCCGGAGAAGAACGACAGUGGUAGAACAUCAACAGACAAAAAAGCAGAAAGCCUCUCUGAUUGGCCGUGUUGGUAUGCCCUCUGUCACCACAUUCUUCAAGAAGGUAAAGCCUUCCCAAGAAGAAUAUGGUUUAGCUGUGCAGGAGGGUGUCUUUGCAUUCCACACUAUGUGACACAAUCAUAGUUACAGAUCUAUGGACUGCACAGCACAACUGACACGGAAGCUUUAUGAGACAAAGUUUACAUGUGCUAGGACAAAAUGUGACGCCACAGUGAGUAACGUGUUAGCACCAUGUGCUAGGACAAAAUGUGACGCCACAGUGAGUAACGUGUUAGCACCAUGUGCUAGGACAAAAUGUGACGCCACAGUGAGUAACGUGUUAGCACCAUGUGCUAGGACAAAAUGUGACGCCAUAGUGAGUAACGUGUUAGCACCAUGUGCUAGGACAAAAUGUGACGCCACAGUGAGUAACGUGUUAGCACCAUGUGCUAGGACAAAAUGUGACGCCACAGUGAGUAACGUGUUAGCACCAUGUGCUAGGACAAAAUGUGAUGCCACAGUGAGUAACGUGUUAGCACCAUGUGCUAGGACAAAAUGUGACACCAUAGUGAGUAACGUGUUAGCACCAUGUGCUAGGACAAAAUGUGACGCCACAGUGAGUAACGUGGUAGCACCAUGUGCUAGGACAAAAUGUGACGCCACAGUGAGUAACGUGUUAGCACCAUGUCCUAGGACAAAAUGUGACGCCACAGUGAGUAACGUGUUAGCACCAUGUGCUAGGACAAAAUGUGACGCCACAGUGAGUAAUAUUUUAGCACCAUGUGCUAGGACAAAAUGUGACGUCAUACUGAGUAACGUGUUAGCACCAUGUGCUAGGACAUA
Salvelinus fontinalis (brook trout) is the source of this 1175-nucleotide long non-coding RNA. RefSeq lists it as uncharacterized. The record is from RefSeq and is a predicted model, not a curated record. Lineage: Eukaryota; Metazoa; Chordata; Actinopteri; Salmoniformes; Salmonidae. The transcript is spliced from 3 exons.